UACGUAGGCAGCAAGCGUUGUUCGGAAUUACUGGGCGUAAAGCGAGUGUAGGUGGUUCGAUAAGUUUGGUGUGAAAUCUCCCGGCUCAACUGGGAGGGUGCGCCGAAGACUGUCGAGCUAGAGUGUGGGAGAGGUAGGCGGAAUUCCUGGUGUAGCGGUGAAAUGCGUAGAUAUCAGGAGGAACACCUGCGGUGUAGACGGCUUACUGGACCACGACUGACACUGAAACUCGAAAGUGUGGGGAG
RNAcentral lists this ribosomal RNA (245 nucleotides) under uncultured bacterium. Its description in RNAcentral is "partial 16S ribosomal RNA". It matches the Rfam family "Bacterial small subunit ribosomal RNA", at positions 524 to 768 of the family's 1533-position model. The record is from RNAcentral.